Molecule: long non-coding RNA, 2099 nt
Filed under: Marmota monax (woodchuck)
Lineage: Eukaryota; Metazoa; Chordata; Mammalia; Rodentia; Sciuridae
Source: RNAcentral
AUCCAGUGCGCGCUUUGGUAAUUGAAAUCCUUCCAUUACCCUUACUCCAGCCCAUUUAAAUAUUUCUCUUUCAGAUGCAAUUACGUCAGGAGGUGAGCCAAAUGGUUUGGGAAAGAUGUGGGCAUUUCCAACAAGAAGGUUACUGGCUGCCCACCAAGAGCUGGUUGGUGUUCACAGUUCUGAGUCCAACUCUUUUCUCUGCUAGGUUCCCAUUUACAGAGCAUGACCAACCUUUCUCUCCAUUCCAAAGAACAUUCAAGAAUUGGGUUGACCAAUACACUUAGUGGAAACCACUCAGAAAAGUUAUCUUGCAUUUUUUCACUGCUUGAUUUCUUUCUAAAAAAAAAAUAAUUCAGCCUUGUUUCUUGUCAGCCCUAAACCAAAUCUUUUCACAUCACUGAGCAGCAUCAUAUAUUUUGAAAUAUCUUUAACCUCACAGAUGCAAUUUUACCUUAAGCAGAACUCCCCCCAUAAUCAAAAGUUGGAAAAGCAAGGUUUUGGAUAUUAGCAAAACAUGCAAAUUUCUAUGUUAAAGCAUCGAUAAUGCCCUCUUAAUGUACUUAGAUGGACAUUUAUUCUGUAUUUAUGUAUGAGAAUGCUGCCGAACCACAGCAUGCAAACUAAAUAAUUCAAUGGAAUGCAUAGAUAAAACUAAUGAUUCUAUAUUCUAACCACUGUUUUAUGAAAAGCUUUUCAUUUAACUCUCAAAACUAACUCAUAAAUCCACACUUGGAUAAUGCAAUGAAGUUAUAUUUAAGUCUAGAACUCUCCUUGCAUGCCAGGUUUCAAAUCUGCUUCUAAGUAAAUGUCCUUUUGGGGACUCAUUAUGACUAUUCCUGUCUUCCCUCAAAACAAACCUAUUAUGGAUGCUCAUUUCCUUUCUUCUCUUGACUUCUGGCUGUCAGAUUUACACCUCUUCCAAUCCAUGCUGCCUUGGCCUAUAGUAGCAAUAUCACAGCCAAGGACAGGGAGCUCAAGCCUGACAGAAGUUGCCAGAGUACCUAACAAAUAUUUUCUUAUGGGAUCCACUCUAGAAACAGCCCCAAAUCACGUCGCAGGUGAGGUUUAUAAUGGGCCACUGAAAGUCACUGAUUGUGAUCUAUGGUCAUAAUAGACCAACUUGAUUGAAAUAGGGAAGAGGGUUCAUAUGGCCAAGUCACACAGAAAAACAUACCCCAGUGCCUGCCAGGGAUCUGAGAUGAGAGAGAUGAGGUGAGGUUGCUCUUCGGCAAAGUAUAAAGGUUAUGCAACAAUCAGCCUCCUCGCCAUACACGAAAAUAUCCUUGCAUCAGUCGCUAUGGCUUCUGUGCUUCAGGAAAAUCUGGCUAGAAAUUCUACCAAAAAUGAAUUAAUUUCUUAAUGCAAAUCUCCUCAGUAGGUAUCACCUUUUUGAAACACAAAUCAUCCCCAGAGAGUACCAAAACCUGUCAGUUGCCCUCAAAUUUAUCAGAAAGAUGUGCUAUGAGAAACUAAAUGGCUGUUCUGUGCAUAAAUAAAAGAAAAUGGGCAUUGCAUUUGUUUAUCUGAUGAUUUUCAAACUUGCUGACAUCUAUAUUAAAACUAUUCUUUGGUCUUUAGAAAAACAGACACUUAAAUGUUCGUGGGCUUCACAUUCCUGAUAACUAUGACAUUUAAAAAUAAGAAAGAGCAUUUUUUUUUGCUAAGUUUAUAAUAGGUAACAAAAUACGUCCCUACUGCAUAUAGCUGUCCCCCGUUAUCCAUGGUUGGGGAUCCCAUAGUCUGAAAAUAUAAUAUGGAAAAUUAGAGAAAUAAACAAUUUAGAAGUUUUAAAUUGUUUGUUGUUCUGAGCAGCAGGAUGAAUCUUGUGCUGGCCCAGCCUGGAAUGUGACUCAUCCCUUUGUCCAGCGUCAUCACACUGUGUAUGCUGCCUGCCUACUAGUCACUUGGUAGACAUCCACUUAUCUCACCAACUAUUUCAGUUCUGUGUUCAAGUAACCUUUAUUUUACUGAAUAAUGACACCAAGUGCAAAUGUAAUGAUACUGGUGAUUUUGGUUAGGACAAAGAAAAGACACAAAGUAUUUGUUUUAAGUAUUAUCUCAUGUCAUCACAAGAAUACAACACAAGAAGAUGUUUUGAG